Molecule: long non-coding RNA, 215 nt
Filed under: Eucalyptus grandis
Lineage: Eukaryota; Viridiplantae; Streptophyta; Magnoliopsida; Myrtales; Myrtaceae
Description: long non-coding RNA (EGRA_LNC002698)
Source: RNAcentral
AAAAGAAAUCGACAAACUUCUCCUCACAGCUCUUAUCUCAAUUAUAAUAUAACUUCUCUGCAUAUAGAUUGUCCAAAAAACUCUCAUCUAUAUGUCCCGAUCAUUUCUCAGGAAAAACUCCCUCUGCCAAAAUUCCCAUCCAAAUGCGGGGUACAAAGCAAAAUCCUCUCUACCAGAAGGCACACCUUCCUACCAAAAAAAGUCCAACAACGUUG